CUUACAGGCAUCUUAUU
Molecule: transfer RNA, 17 nt
Filed under: Catomerus polymerus
Lineage: Eukaryota; Metazoa; Arthropoda; Thecostraca; Balanomorpha; Catophragmidae
Description: partial tRNA-Ile
Source: RNAcentral